RNAcentral lists this ribosomal RNA (554 nucleotides) under Scolecenchelys sp. DI_6 UCS-2018. RNAcentral describes it as "partial 16S ribosomal RNA". It matches the Rfam family "Bacterial large subunit ribosomal RNA", at positions 1927 to 2607 of the family's 2925-position model. Lineage: Eukaryota; Metazoa; Chordata; Actinopteri; Anguilliformes; Ophichthidae. The record is from RNAcentral.
ACGGCCGCGGUAUUUUAACCGCGCUAAGGUAGCGUAAUCAUUUGUCUCUUAAAUGGAGACCUGUAUGAAUGGCACCACGAGGGUUUAACUGUCUCCUUCCCCCAGUCAAUGAAAUUGAUCUGCCCGUGCAGAAGCGGACAUAAGAACAUAAGACGAGAAGACCCUAUGGAGCUUUAGGCAAAAGAUCAAACAUGUAAAGAAAACUACUUAAAACCAAGGAGACCAAAAGAUUUUUAAACCUAAUGUGAAAAUGAUCCACAUGCCUUCGGUUGGGGCGACCGCGGAGGAAAAUAAAGCCCCCGCAUGGAAUUGAAGACACCUUCCAAACAAAGAACCACAGUUCUAAGUAACAGAACAUCUGACCACAAGUGAUCCUGGAUAAACUAUUAACCCGAUCAAUGAACCAAGUUACCCUAGGGAUAACAGCGCAAUCCUUUCCCAGAGCCCAUAUCGACGAAAGGGUUUACGACCUCGAUGUUGGAUCAGGACAUCCUAAUGGUGAAGCCGCUAUUAAGGGUUCGUUUGUUCAACGAUUAACAGUCCUACGUGAUCUG